UUGAGACCCAAGACUUGUUCAGUAGGAUUAAGGAGUGGGGCAGAAAACCUAACCUUUAGAAAUGUCCUUGACCAGAAAUAUAGGUGUUCUUAUCUCUGAUUCAGUGGAACCAGGAGACCCAAUACUGGCCCCCACAGGCUUCUGAGGCCUUUAGUUCUCCCCCAGUUACCCAAGCAGGUACUUGAAGGACAUGCUGAAUCUCAAGGAUAUUAUGUCCACCUAGGAGUCAGAGCUCACUGAUUUUAGACUAACAAGCUCCAAAUUCCCCUUUACUGAUGGGUCCUCAACAGAUACUCCUCAUUUUAUCACCCUUUCCUCUGAUUCACUAGCCACAGCUUUCUGGCAACAUGCUCUACCUACCCUGACAGCUAAAGACAAAAUGUCCUGGAUGCUGGGCCUGGGCUGCUGCUGAGAGUGAAGAAGCCAGGCGCCCUCUUCAGUGCACAUAUAUAUGCAGGUGGUCUGUUUUGGAGUACUGCCUGCCUGUACCUGGAAGAUCUGUGGAGCACUCAGGCCUGGUUGAAGCACCGCUGAAAUCGCACUGUCGCCUGCCUUGAGAAUCAGACCUGAAGAACACCACUGGUUCAUCUCUUACACAGGCUGACCGAUUUCUCCUGGUGUUCAGAGUCUGUUUUUGUCUAGCACCAUUUGAAAUCGGUUAUGAUGUAGGGGGAAAAGCACCAGCCUCCGAGCCUUGUGGUGUCUGGUCAGCAUCAGCCUGUCAUUUCCUACCCGGGCAGAGCACAAGAGGAAGAUCACAGUUUCCGAACUUGUUUAAUGCAUAUGUAUGUAUGUGGUUGCAAAAGUUAGAGAUCACUUAGUGGGUUUUUUUUUAAAUGUUAUAAUUUGUUGUUGUAAAAUAUCCUCAGUUAAAAUUUCUGACAUGUAGUACUGUUACAAACUAGUUGCUGUUGAACCGUCUGUUAAGUGUUGGCUUUAAUAAAUAAUUUGCUACAUUUAAUCUA
Molecule: long non-coding RNA, 965 nt
Organism: Grammomys surdaster
Lineage: Eukaryota; Metazoa; Chordata; Mammalia; Rodentia; Muridae
Exons: 2
Source: RefSeq, a predicted model, not a curated record